Molecule: non-coding RNA, 728 nt
Organism: Ciona intestinalis (vase tunicate)
Lineage: Eukaryota; Metazoa; Chordata; Ascidiacea; Phlebobranchia; Cionidae
Source: RefSeq, a predicted model, not a curated record
CUUGCGUUGAUACAGUUUUUAUUUUGUUUGCAACAUAAGCCGAAGUCUCAAGAUGAAAAACGGAGAUAAAAGUUCGGAUCAGUUGGAAUCGAACUAAAACUCAUCAAGAAUUUUCCAAGUGAUAUAUAGACUGUUGGGUCGAUACGUUAUAAGUUGAAAACACACAUACAAGCAACUUCUUUGCUUGUGAGUUCAAUUUUCCAUACGUGGUAAGAAGGGUUGUCUUCUCUUGCGUAUGAUCGGCAUAUUAACCAUGGUAUCAUUAUCUUGUGUUCAGUCAUCCAACCUGUUCUUCUAAGUGCCGUGCUCGCACAUCGGCCACACGAGAUCUCUUUUUGUCGCGGAGCACUGUUAUGUUAAAAUUGUUAUUUAUUUGAGAAAGUGGAAAUUUAUCACAAUGGUCGCGCUUAUGUUACAUUUACACCUGAGCCAGUAUAAGAGAAACGGGGCACAGGUUCACUGUGUUCUGUGGUAUGGAGAGUACCAGCUGCUGUUCGAAGUCAAAUUGUAAGUUCAGGUUAUUUCGGUCAAUGUAUUGAAUGCACUCGCUCGAUCUGUUGAAGGUUUUUCUAACGCUGCUUUUGUACGCAGGAUAUACACAACUGCUAUACACAUGCGUUACUAGCCCGAAAAUCAAAUACAAAGUUAAGCGCAUUUUAACGUUGUCUAAAGUUUUGUUAACGGUAUAAUUGUCAAGGAAUAUAAACACGUAUUUAUAUACGUGAAUG